Small nucleolar RNA from Hibiscus syriacus, 107 nucleotides. The record is from RefSeq and is a predicted model, not a curated record. NCBI's taxonomy places the organism in Eukaryota, Viridiplantae, Streptophyta, Magnoliopsida, Malvales, Malvaceae.
AAUCCACGCUUCAGACAUUUUCACAUAAAAUCCUUGAAUCUUUCCCAUUCCUCAUGCAAGAUUUCUUCUUUCAAUUGUUUAAAGGAAGUGAGGUCUUUUCGAAGUUU